RNAcentral lists this ribosomal RNA (319 nucleotides) under uncultured eukaryote. RNAcentral's name for it is "partial 18S ribosomal RNA". It matches the Rfam family "Eukaryotic small subunit ribosomal RNA", at positions 1470 to 1796 of the family's 1831-position model. The record is from RNAcentral.
CCCUUAGAUGUUCUGGGCUGCACGCGUGCUACAAUGGCGUUUCCAGCAAGUCUGCGAACCCGAGAGGGCCAGCGGAUCUUCGAAUUGGCGUCGUGAUCGGGACAGUCGAUUGCAAUUAUUUGACUCAAAUGAGGAAUUCCUUGUAAUCGCGAUUCAUCAUAUCGCGCUGAAUACGUCCCUGCCCUUUGUACACACCGCCCGUCGCUCCUACCGAUUGAGCGAUCCGGUAAAUGUUUUGGAUUGGUGCCGGGGCGGCUAGCUGCCGGUCGCUACGAAAUUUUGUGAACCUUAUCGCUUAGAGGAAGGAAAAGUCGUAACA